Long non-coding RNA from Gasterosteus aculeatus aculeatus (three-spined stickleback), 536 nucleotides. RefSeq lists it as uncharacterized. The record is from RefSeq and is a predicted model, not a curated record. NCBI's taxonomy places the organism in Eukaryota, Metazoa, Chordata, Actinopteri, Perciformes, Gasterosteidae.
AUGGAAACGGAGGAGAUUCUCGUCCGACGACCCAACAUUACAAAUUAAACAUUAGGGAUUUUUAGGUAAUUGUUUUUUCACCGCGUGUGAAGCCACCUCGGUUCCCUGCUUGCACUGGAGGAUAAUUACUUCAAAUAUUAUCAUGGAGAUUCAAGAUUCCUUCGAUGUGGAAUAUUUGUUAAAGCUGGUCGAUAAUCGCCUUAAGUGCUUUUUUGGCACACUGGGCUACUAGUAGCAGACAUGGUCCUCUUUUCAGACAGCAGUGUUCUUCGCCUACGCGCUGUUACGACAUUUCCAUAUACCAAUGGAGACAGUAUUCCCGAAAGAAUGGAAGGACUCGUAUUCAACUACCAAUAAAAAGCCAACAAGGUAUCCUUAUUCCAGAAAAAAAAUCGCUGGCAAUCAAUCACCCAUUGAAAUAUACAGGACUUCAAACACGCAUACAGGCCUGUACAUAUUUGGAGCUAAGAUUGGGGGUUUUCGGGGUGUUUCGGAAGCUUUGUGAUGACAAAUAAAGGCGCUGCCUUAAGAUACGA